Molecule: ribosomal RNA, 465 nt
Filed under: Vreelandella stevensii
Lineage: Bacteria; Pseudomonadati; Pseudomonadota; Gammaproteobacteria; Oceanospirillales; Halomonadaceae
Description: partial 16S ribosomal RNA
Rfam family: Bacterial small subunit ribosomal RNA
Source: RNAcentral
CCUGCGGGAGGCUGCAGUGGGGAAUAUUGGACAAUGGGGGCAACCCUGAUCCAGCCAUGCCGCGUGUGUGAAGAAGGCCCUCGGGUUGUAAAGCACUUUCAGUGAGGAAGAACGCCUGGUGGUUAAUACCCAUCAGGAAAGACAUCACUCACAGAAGAAGCACCGGCUAACUCCGUGCCAGCAGCCGCGGUAAUACGGAGGGUGCGAGCGUUAAUCGGAAUUACUGGGCGUAAAGCGCGCGUAGGUGGCUUGAUAAGCCGGUUGUGAAAGCCCCGGGCUCAACCUGGGAACGGCAUCCGGAACUGUCAAGCUAGAGUGCAGGAGAGGAAGGUAGAAUUCCCGGUGUAGCGGUGAAAUGCGUAGAGAUCGGGAGGAAUACCAGUGGCGAAGGCGGCCUUCUGGACUGACACUGACACUGAGGUGCGAAAGCGUGGGUAGCAAACAGGAUUAGAUACCCUAGUAGUC